GAUCCUGGGCUCAGGAUGAACGCUAGCUACAGGCUUAACACAUGCAAGUCGAGGGGCAGCAUUUUAGUUUGCUUGCAAACUAAAGAUGGCGACCGGCGCACGGGUGAGUAACACGUAUCCAACCUGCCGAUAACUCAGGGAUAGCCUUUCGAAAGAAAGAUUAAUACCUGAUGGCAUAGGAUUAUCGCAUGAUAAUCCUAUUAAAGAAUUUCGGUUAUCGAUGGGGAUGCGUUCCAUUAGG
Molecule: ribosomal RNA, 241 nt
Filed under: uncultured bacterium
Lineage: Bacteria
Description: partial 16S ribosomal RNA
Rfam family: Bacterial small subunit ribosomal RNA
Source: RNAcentral